AUCAGGCAGGAGGAGGGAGAGAGGAGAGAAGAGGAAUGAGACUGCCCAGGGGGAUGAAAUUCCAACAAAAUACCAUUUGGUGGCAGGAAUGUAGGAUUUUUCUGUUUGGAUCCUUGAAUGGAGAGUCUGACCAUGGCUUGCCAGAAUAAACCUCACCUAAGAGAAGGAGGACGAGUGGUUACGGAAUGAUAUAGGGUAGACAAGUCCCUACUUGGCUUCCAAAGUCCAGGUUACCCAUCUCUGGACCUAGAGUGUCUCAAUCUGACUGAUAAGGGGGCCGUUUAUUGAUUGCAUCAGGACCAUUUAUGACUGGCACAUUACAGAACUAGGUCGUCCUGAGGGUUUGAUGAGAUAAGGCGUGCACUUCGCUUUGCAGAGUGCCUGGCACAUCAUGGUUCAAAACAUGAGUCACCGUCAUCAUCGUCACCGUCAUCAUCGCCACCCUCAUCAUCACCCUCAUCCAUAGCUUUGGGAGAGGAAUCUGGAGCAAAAGUAGGAGGCAUCUGCGUACCUGAACCAUCAGCCACAGCAGUGCCAGGUUUAGCAAAUAAAAAUAUAAGCACAUUUACUCAU
Neofelis nebulosa (Clouded leopard) is the source of this 573-nucleotide long non-coding RNA. RefSeq lists it as uncharacterized. The record is from RefSeq and is a predicted model, not a curated record. The transcript is spliced from 4 exons. NCBI's taxonomy places the organism in Eukaryota, Metazoa, Chordata, Mammalia, Carnivora, Felidae.